ACUGGGAGUUCAAACAGGAUAAGAGUAUUUCGUCGUCUAUUUUGUCAGCUCCCCGAUCGCAUUGACAAAACUUCCCGUGCUUUUAGAAGAGAAUCUUAUGACGAAUGCAUUAGUAAAUCGAGAUUUGUUUUUUAAUCUGCAAUAAUACGAGUAUUAUAAUAGCUAGUGUUGUGGAUUGGGUAGCCUUCACAUGCGCAUUCUGUCAAAGAAACCAGGCGGCGAAGUUGAUGAAGCGGAACACUUAAGCAAAGACUAUCGAAAUCAUGGAAGUUCCAGCUUUUAUAGACGAUUUGGGAGCUGGGAAUGAUUAUAACGAAGCCGAGAACCACAGCAGUCAAUACUUUUCACGGCCCAUGUUAAAUUUCGAGAAUUACAAUGAUAAUUCUGUGCUGGGACAAGAAAGCAAUCAGGCGGAAACAAAUCUGUUGGCUCUGACAUCUAAGCUUUCUUGCCUUGGUCAGAAAGCCCAGCAGCUGGAGCAAUUUUUUCGAAGUCAAUUGGUGUGCUCAUCAGGCAAAGAUGAGCAUCAGGAACAAGCGAAAUCAGCCUUGAAUUCGAUCCUGGGAGAGGUAAUUCUCACAUCUACUUCCAUUUUGUCUCAAUGUCAAAGCUUAAUUAAUUCACAGAGGCCACCGCAGAAAGAGGAUAAUGGGAAAGUAGAAAUUAUAGAGAUCAACGAAGAGGAUAUUCUGGCAGAGCAUACCCAUUUCUGCAAGAUCUGUGGGAAAGGGUUUAGGCGAGAUGGGAAUGUGCGCAUUCAUAUGCGAUCCCACGGCAAUCAAUAUAAAACCCAGGAGGCCCUCAUGUCCGGCAAGCCCAAGGCAAGCAAAUCAUAUUACUCAUGCCCCUUUGAAGACUGCAGGCGGAACAGGCGUCAUCCCAAUUUCAAACCCUUGAAAUCCAUGCCCUGUCUGAGGAACCAUCACAGAAGAAGCCACUGCGCUAAGAUGUAUACCUGCAACAAAUGCGGAAAAGAGUUUUCUUUUGUGGGCGAUCUCAAAACCCACGGAAACAAGUGCGGACACACUACCUGGCGCUGCUCCUGCAACACCACGUUUGCUAGCAAGGAUAAGCUGUUUCGCCAUGUCGCCUUGUUUCAGGAAGGGCACAAGCCUGUGCUUCCCUCACACACCCCUUCUGCUGCUGCUUCUCUCAAUAGGGAAAAGCCCACAAGAAAUGAAAAAAACCCGGUUUGUUGUGCCCAAGAUGCUGAUGAUCUAGCAACAGAGGGUCCAUCCACUAUAGCAGAAGGCCUGCCUAGUUAUGGCAAUGAUGCAGGUUUAUUUAUGUUGGACACAGGCUCAGUUGGGAUUCAACACACUGAAUACAUGGGCCAGGAGAAUGAAAUUGCUUUCUUCAAUGAGGAUAGAGAAGAGAAUGAAUUGUAUGGAUCUCUCUUUUGGUCACAUGCAGAUCUGCCCUGGCCUGAACAAUUGUAGGUGUAUUUUUUUUCUCAAUAAUUUAGGCCGAUCAAUUUAUUUUUGUAUAUGUUACAUACUUUUUGUAAGUUAAAAUUUUCUGUAUCAGCUAUUUUGUCUGUCAAAAUGUUAAGUCUAAGUUCUGCCCAAAUUGCAAUUUUGUUUAUAUUGCAAAACAUAUCAAUAUUGUAGAAGGGGGUUUGGUAUGGUGGUUCUUACAAAAGGCCUUUUAAGAAUCUAAUCAGAAAUCCCCUAACAUGUUAAUUAUUAAGUAAGAAAAACUGCACAGUCCACCAUUUCCUUAGCAGAUACCGCAGAUAUAUGAUUUGUUCAUUUAUAUAGUCCCAACUCUCAAUAUCGGGUUUCACUUUGUUAAGGUUUAAAAAGGAAUUAUGAACAGAAAUCGACCACAUAGAUCUCCAUUUGGCAAAACUGAGGAUGCACAUCUAUCAGGGCUUUCGAGUCAGCAACCAAAAUCUGGUUUCUUGGAUUUUUUCUGUGCAUGCUAUUCACUGUUUCAAAGCUCCCCCACCUUACGAUUUCCUUGGAGGAUGAUCCAUAUUUGGCAUUAUACCAGGCAUUUGCUUUUUGUUUUUUUAACUUGCCAAGGAUUUGUCAAGAAGUUCAUUUGUAUGAGACCACGCUAUCUUUGAGGCGCUCAUUUCUGAAAGAUGUGAGCCUUAACAAUAAGAUUAUAUUGUGCACAUCCUAUAGCCAUUGCAUUCUUUACUGGCAGGUUUGUGUUAUGCUCUUUGUCGAACAAUCCAUCUUCCACAUGCGUCCAUAUGUAGACAUGUUAAUCAGGACAACGCAAAUAUCUACCUUAAGCAUAACAUCACACAACAAUCUAACUUGAAGAACAAUUUUUAUAGUUAUCCAUAUCCUGUUCCUAAGUACCCUGUGGCACAUGCUAGAAGGAUAUCACGAUUUGUUGAAUUUUUCUUAACAUCUGCCAAUCUUUUUUUAUUAGUUUGCUUGCCCAUAGGAUGUAAUGAAAUGCCAUCCAGAAAGGUUUCUUUUCCAUCGGACACCACUUAAUUUAAGACAUGCGUACGCACCCCACAUAGCAUCCACCAGUAUUAGAAAAUCCCUCCUUAUAUGGGUAAGGACAGAAAGCACCUUGGCAUGUGUAUAAAUGGACAAAGAACUCUCAUCCCUCUGAACCACUCAAACUUAGAUGGUACAAUCAAGGGUAAACUUUUUGCAUCCUAUCCUUCAAUAGUAUCAAAUAAAUGCCAAUGAAUUUGUGUGCCCUAGACUUUUGCAGCUUCUCUCUGGCUACCCAGGAAUCCUUAAGAAGGAAGUUUCACCAUCAGAUUGUAGGGGGAAUGCAAAGGAAAUUAAGCUUAACUUGUAUAGUCAACACCAAAACCCUCUAACCAUUUCAUACUUCUAGAAUAUGUUCUCUGUUUCCUCUUUCUACAAAGAGCCUCAACCCUGCUUUCACAGUUAAAUCCUGGUAGAAUAUAUGGGGUCAAUUGUCUCCUUUUUCUGCAUAGACAUUCAACCAUGCUUUCAUGGUUAAACCUUGAUGUUACUGCUGAGGAAUCCCUGAUACCUUUUUCUUGCACUUAACCCACUUUGUCUACCUAUAAUUGCAGAUAAGGAAUUUACAGGCCAUCUUUGCCUUUCUAACAGAUUCCCUACAUCCAUCUUCAACCGAUCAACUCACAAACCAAUUCCAUUGACUCUCUUGUAUUGGGUCAAGUAAAUCGAAAUGAUUCAGAGUAUAUAAAAUUAUAAUUUCGUUGCAAUAUCAAAGCUUAAGUAAUCCACAGGAGCCACCAAAGGAAGAGGGAGAAGAGAGAGUAGGAAUUAGAUGAUAUUUUGUUAGGACGUACCUAUUUCUGUAAGAUCUGUGGGAAAGGCUUCAGGUGGGGUGGGAAUGUCUGCAUUCAUAUGGGAUCCCGUGGCAACCAAUAUAAAACUCAGGAGGUUCUCAUGUCGAGCAGGCCCAAGGCAAGCAAAUCAUAUUAUCAAUGCCCCUUUGAAGAGUGCAGGCAGAACAGGCGUCAUCUUAAUUUCAAGCCCUUGAAAUCCGUAGCCUGCUUGAGGAAUCAUUAUUGAAGAAGACACUGUACUAACAUGUCGCAGAAAGGAGUUUUCUUUUGUGUGUAAUCCUCAAAUCCAUAGGAACAAGUGCAAAGACACUACCUGCUCCAUAUAGAAAUUUCAAAGGCAACAAAGUGUACAAGGCAGGAUUUUGUAGGUUCUUCCCUAAUCCUAAUUCGCAGGACACCCUUAUAGUCGAAACAUUGAAGCUCUUCAUGACAAGUUCAAGAAGGAUGCUCAUAAUCAGUGAUACUUCCAUCAGUGGUACUUCCAUGACCAAGCAUUCCAACAGUUGCAGCUUCUUGUGAUCAAUGUUUUAUUUCAAGUUGCUAGUUCAUCUGCAUCUAAGAGGAAUAGGAGCGCCCAAUCCUCCAUCCAUUCAAUAGAGCACAACUGACUACAUUCAAAAAAGGCAAAGGACUUAGUCUAAGUGUAUUUCAACUUGUGCCUCUUUUUGCACAAACCAAUUGACUACAAAAAAAGGGAGAGUAUAUUGACUUGGAUGCUUCUACUUCCCAACAUGCUAGACUUGAGGAGUCAGAUAGCAAGCAUGCGAGUGUCAGUGCAUUACUUGUAGUUCUUCUAAUUAUGUUUACAGACAUUCUACAAUGGCAGUAGAACACGGAGUCUCAUAUCA
RNA transcript from Cryptomeria japonica (Japanese cedar), 4107 nucleotides. It is a transcript of the gene named zinc finger protein WIP5, with no coding region annotated. The transcript is spliced from 2 exons. NCBI's taxonomy places the organism in Eukaryota, Viridiplantae, Streptophyta, Pinopsida, Cupressales, Cupressaceae. The record is from RefSeq and is a predicted model, not a curated record.